CAAUAGCGUAUACUAAUGUUGUUGCAGUUAAAAAGCUCGUAGUUGAACUUCUGGUAGGAGUGUCCCGGCCUUUUUGUUUUUACAAAUUGUAUGCUGUGUGACAUCUCUGGCCAUCCUUCUUCUUUGUUUAAAGAAGAUCUUUCACUGUAAAAAAAUUAGGGUGUUCAAAGCAAAAGUUUCUUUGGAAUAUAUUGGUAUGGGAUGAUAAGAUAGGCUCUAGAUGCUAUUUUGUUGGUUUGCACAUUUAGAGAAUGAUUAACAGGGACAGUUGGGGGUAUUCGUAUUUACAUGUCAGAGGUGAAAUUCUUGGAUUUUGGAAAGACGAACUACUGCGAAAGCAUUUACCAAGGAUGUUUUCAUUAA
This 363-nucleotide ribosomal RNA is filed under the name uncultured eukaryote. RNAcentral describes it as "partial 18S ribosomal RNA". It matches the Rfam family "Eukaryotic small subunit ribosomal RNA", at positions 592 to 976 of the family's 1831-position model. The record is from RNAcentral.